GACGAACGCUGGCGGCGUGCUUAACACAUGCAAGUCGAGCGGUAAGGCCCUUUCGGGGGUACGACGAGCGGCGAACGGGUGAGUAACACGUGGGUGACCUGCCCUUAGCUCUGGGAUAAGCCUGGGAAACUGGGUCUAAUACCGGAUAUGACCUCAUGACUCAUGUUGUGGGGUGGAAAGCCUUGUGCGGCUAGGGAUGGGCCCGCGGUCUAUCAGCUUGUUGGUGGGGUAAUUGCCUACCAAGGCGACGACGGGUAGCCGGCCUGAGAGGGCGACCGGCCACACUGGGACUGAGACACGGCCCAGACUCCUACGGGAGGCAGCAGUGGGGAAUCUUGCGCAAUGGGCGAAAGCCUGACGCAGCGACGCCGCGUGAGGGAUGACGGCCUU
This 390-nucleotide ribosomal RNA is filed under the name uncultured bacterium. RNAcentral describes it as "bacterial SSU rRNA". It matches the Rfam family "Bacterial small subunit ribosomal RNA", at positions 28 to 418 of the family's 1533-position model. The record is from RNAcentral.